Molecule: transfer RNA, 70 nt
Filed under: Syndesmis echinorum
Lineage: Eukaryota; Metazoa; Platyhelminthes; Rhabdocoela; Umagillidae
Description: tRNA-Gly
Source: RNAcentral
UUUGGUUAGGGUGUUAUUUGUUGCAUAUUGCUUUUCCACAGCAAAGGAUCUAUUGUUUAGAUGGCUAAAA